GCGCUGCAGCCCCUGCCGUAGCUGCCGCUGCUCCCGCCACCACUGCCUCCUAGAAGAUGGCUGUGCCUCCCACAUGUGCUGAUCUUGGCAAAUCCGCCAGGGAUGUCUUCACCAAAGGCUACGGAUUUGGCUUAAUAAAACUUGAUUUGAAGACAAAGUCUGAGAAUGGUCUGGAAUUCACCAGCUCAGGCUCAGCCAACACGGAGACCACCAAAGUGAACGGCAGCCUGGAAACCAAGUACCGGUGGACUGAGUAUGGCCUGACGUUUACGGAGAAGAGGAACAUGGACAACACGCUAGGCACAGAGAUCACCGUGGAAGACCAGCUUGCGCGUGGACUGAAGCUGACCUUUGACUCAUCCUUCUCACCUAACACUGGGAAAAAAAAUGCUAAAAUCAAGACAGGGUACAAGAGGGAGCACAUCAACUUGGGCUGUGAUGUGGACUUUCACAUCGCUGGGCCCUCGAUCCGGGGCGCUCUGGUGCUGGGCUAUGAGGGCUGGCUUGCUGGCUACCAGAUGAAUUUUGAGACCUCGAAGUCACGGGUGACCCAGAGCAACUUUGCAGUUGGUUACAAGACUGACGAAUUCCAGCUUCAUACCAACGUGAACGAUGGGACAGAGUUUGGUGGCUCCAUUUACCAGAAGGUGAACAAGAAGUUGGAGACCGCUGUCAAUCGUGCCUGGACAGCAGGAAACAGUAACACUCGCUUUGGAAUAGCAGCCAAGUAUCAGAUCGACCCAGAUGCCUGCUUUUCGGCCAAAGUGAACAACUCCAGCCUGAUCAGUUUAGGGUACACUCAGACCCUCAAGCCAGGUAUCAAACUGACACUGUCAGCUCUACUGGAUGGCAAGAACAUCAAUGCAGGUGGCCACAAGCUUGGUCUAGGCCUGGAGUUUCAAGCAUAAAUGAAUAUUGUACAAUCAUUAAUUUUAAACUAUUUUGCAGCAUAGCUACCUUCAGAAUUUAGUGUACCUUUUAAUGUUGCAAGAAUUGCUAAAUAUCAUGUUAGAUUCCAGGUUAAAGAUGAUUCAGCUUUAAGAAAGUGUGUUACCAUUUCAGAGGUACAGAAGAAACCAAUUCCAAAAAAGUCCUUUCAGCUGUAGACUUUGGGAGGAGCCCCCUACAGGUGCCAGGUUUCUCUUUUUAAUCUUAGAAAUGGCUACAAGGGGAAGCUGAUGACUGUAGGCCCUUUGUAAACUGUGUGAGUCCGUGGAUGAAAUUGUGACUUCCGAGCAUCGAACCUUGGUUUCCCAACCCUAACCGUGAGAAGCCCACGGCUUGAUAGUGUGCACACACCCAUCUGAAAGGGACUUUACAGAUCUUUAUACCGU
Molecule: RNA transcript, 1334 nt
Organism: Nannospalax galili (Upper Galilee mountains blind mole rat)
Lineage: Eukaryota; Metazoa; Chordata; Mammalia; Rodentia; Spalacidae
Gene name: voltage-dependent anion-selective channel protein 1 pseudogene
Exons: 1
Source: RefSeq, a predicted model, not a curated record